CACUGAAACAUUAGUUCCCGUACGAUCUCCGAAUUUAAGCAACGUCGGGUCUACUCAGUACCCCACAUGGGUGACCGCUUGGGAAUAUCAGGGGCUGUU
Molecule: non-coding RNA, 99 nt
Organism: Acanthosepion pharaonis
Lineage: Eukaryota; Metazoa; Mollusca; Cephalopoda; Sepiida; Sepiidae
Source: the annotation of a GenBank genome assembly